GAUGAACGCUGACAGAAUGCUUAACACAUGCCAGUCUUUGGCGAAGCUGUGCUUGCACAGCCUAGCCAAGGCGGACGGGUGAGUAACGCGUAAGGAACUUGCCCUGCAGUCAGGGAUAACAGACGGAAACGACUGAUAAGACCUGGUAAAGUCAGGCGGACUCAUGUCCAGCCUGAUGAAAAGAGAUGCUGCAGGAGAGCCUUGCGUCCUAUUAGCUUGUUGGUGGGGUAACGGCCCACCAAGGCGAUGAUAGGUAGCCGGCCUGAGAGGGUGGACGGCCACAAGGGGACUGAGAGACGGCCCUUACUCCUACGGGAGGCAGCAGUGGGGAAUAUUGGACAAUGGGGGCAACCCUGAUCCAGCGAUGCUGUGUGCACGAUGAAGGUUUUCGGAUUGUAAAGUGCUUUCAGCAGGGAAGAAAAAAUGACGGUACCUGCAGAAGAAGCGACGGCUAACUACGUG
This 462-nucleotide ribosomal RNA is filed under the name uncultured bacterium. RNAcentral's name for it is "partial 16S ribosomal RNA". It matches the Rfam family "Bacterial small subunit ribosomal RNA", at positions 28 to 507 of the family's 1533-position model. The record is from RNAcentral.